RNAcentral lists this ribosomal RNA (497 nucleotides) under uncultured bacterium. RNAcentral describes it as "partial 16S ribosomal RNA". It matches the Rfam family "Bacterial small subunit ribosomal RNA", at positions 28 to 507 of the family's 1533-position model. The record is from RNAcentral.
GACGAACGCUGGCGGCGUGCCUAAUACAUGCAAGUUGAGCGAUGAAGAUUGGUGCUUGCACCAAUUUGAAGAGCAGCGAACGGGUGAGUAACGCGUGGGGAAUCUGCCUUUGAGCGGGGGACAACAUUUGGAAACGAAUGCUAAUACCGCAUAACAACUUUAAACAUAAGUUUUAAGUUUGAAAGAUGCAAUUGCAUCACUCAAAGAUGAUCCCGCGUUGUAUUAGCUAGUUGGUGAGGUAAAGGCUCACCAAGGCGAUGAUACAUAGCCGACCUGAGAGGGUGAUCGGCCACAUUGGGACUGAGACACGGCACAAACUCCUACGGGAGGCAGCAGUAGGGAAUCUUCGGCAAGGGACGAAAGUCUGACCGAGCAACGCCGCGGGAGUGAAGAAGGUUGUCGGAUCGUAAAACUCUGUUGGUAGAGAAGAACGUGGGUGAGAGUGGAAAGCUCAUCAAGUGACGGUAACUACCCAGAAAGGGACGGCUAACUACGUG